GCGUAGGGAUCAUUACCGAGUUUACAACUCCCAAACCCAAUGUGAACGUUACCAAACUGUUGCCUCGGCGGGAUCUCUGCCCCGGGUGCGUCGCAGCCCCGGACCAAGGCGCCCGCCGGAGGACCAACCAAAACUCUUAUUGUAUACCCCCUCGCGGGUUUUUUACUAUCUGAGCCAUCUCGGCGCCCCUCGUGGGCGUUUCGAAAAUGAAUCAAAACUUUCAACAACGGAUCUCUUGGUUCUGGCAUCGAUGAAGAACGCAGCGAAAUGCGAUAAGUAAUGUGAAUUGCAGAAUUCAGUGAAUCAUCGAAUCUUUGAACGCACAUUGCGCCCGCCAGUAUUCUGGCGGGCAUGCCUGUCCGAGCGUCAUUUCAACCCUCGAACCCCUCCGGGGGGUCGGCGUUGGGGAUCGGCCCUUUACGGGGCCGGCCCCGAAAUACAGUGGCGGUCUCGCCGCAGCCUCUCCUGCGCAGUAGUUUGCACACUCGCAUCGGGAGCGCGGCGCGUCCACAGCCGUUAAACACCCCAAACUUCUGAAAUGUUGACCU
This 548-nucleotide ribosomal RNA is filed under the name Trichoderma virens. RNAcentral's name for it is "eukaryotic LSU rRNA". The stretch from base 216 to 369 matches the Rfam family "5.8S ribosomal RNA". The record is from RNAcentral. Lineage: Eukaryota; Fungi; Ascomycota; Sordariomycetes; Hypocreales; Hypocreaceae.